Megalobrama amblycephala (Wuchang bream) is the source of this 216-nucleotide long non-coding RNA. RefSeq lists it as uncharacterized. The record is from RefSeq and is a predicted model, not a curated record. Lineage: Eukaryota; Metazoa; Chordata; Actinopteri; Cypriniformes; Xenocyprididae. The transcript is spliced from 3 exons.
AGGAAAAAGCCACAAAAGAAUUGCUCCUAUCACACUCGCCUAGAGGCUUUCCCCAUCAGGAGUGUUGUAAGAGAAAGAGUGAGAAACGGCAAAGCAGAAAUGCUGGUUGACUGGGAGCCCUGUCCAGUAUGGUAUGUAUUCUUCUGUUUUUCUGCUUUAUCAAUUAUUGCAUGCAUUAUUAAUUUACUUUAACAUUGUUAAUUUUUUUUUUUUAUU